RNAcentral lists this ribosomal RNA (493 nucleotides) under uncultured bacterium. RNAcentral describes it as "partial 16S ribosomal RNA". It matches the Rfam family "Bacterial small subunit ribosomal RNA", at positions 30 to 523 of the family's 1533-position model. The record is from RNAcentral.
AUUGAACGCUGGCGGCAUGCCUUACACAUGCAAGUCGAACGGUAACAGGUUAAGCUGACGAGUGGCGAACGGGUGAGUAAUAUAUCGGAACGUGCCCAGUCGUGGGGGAUAACGUAGCGAAAGCAACGCUAAUACCGCAUACGAUCUACGGAUGAAAGCGGGGGAUCGCAAGACCUCGCGCGAUUGGAGCGGCGGAUAUCAGAUUAGGUUGGUGGUGAGGUAAAAGCUCACGAAGCCUGCGAUCUGUAGCUGGUCUGAGAGGACGACGAGCCACACUGGAACUGAGACACGGUCCAGACUCCUACGGGAGGCAGCAGUGGGGAAUUUUGGACGAUGGACGCAAGUCUGAUCCAGCAAUGCCGCGUGCAGGACGAAGGCCUUCGGGUUGUAAACUGCUUUUGUACGGAACGAAACGGUGAGCUCUAAUACGGUUUGCUAAUGACGGUACCGUAAGAAUAAGCACCGGCUAACUACGUGCCAGCCGCCGCAGUAA